RNAcentral lists this transfer RNA (68 nucleotides) under Otolemur garnettii (small-eared galago). It matches the Rfam family "tRNA". Rfam says of the family: Transfer RNA (tRNA) molecules are approximately 80 nucleotides in length. Their secondary structure includes four short double-helical elements and three loops (D, anti-codon, and T loops). The record is from Rfam by way of RNAcentral. Lineage: Eukaryota; Metazoa; Chordata; Mammalia; Primates; Galagidae.
GCCUGUGGCUCAGUCUGUAGGGCGUCGGUCCCAUAUACCGAAGGUGGCAGGUUCAAACCCGGCCUGGC